Molecule: non-coding RNA, 331 nt
Organism: Paramuricea clavata
Lineage: Eukaryota; Metazoa; Cnidaria; Anthozoa; Malacalcyonacea; Plexauridae
Source: the annotation of a GenBank genome assembly
CAUUGAACUAAAAAUAACUGGAACGCUACGUUCAGUAAACUGCGCAUGCAAAUUUUGAAGCCAAAAUUUGACUCCCAUGAAGCCAGUUUUGACUCCCAGACACGCACUUCCACGCGUGUUUCUACUGCGCGAUUUACUCGCGAGACAAUGCAGGGGGCGCUCGAAGCAUGCCAUUUUGAAUGUUUUCAUGGCAGGAUGCAAAUCGAAAGGGAAACGGGCCUUUUCAGUUUAAAACGGGCCUUUUAAAGCCUGUGUACGACCUUGUAGAAUUUAGCUUCAAAUUUCCGCUUGAACGUAGCGUUCCAGUUAUUUUUAGUUCAAUGCUUUUUAC